RNAcentral lists this ribosomal RNA (468 nucleotides) under uncultured bacterium. RNAcentral's name for it is "partial 16S ribosomal RNA". It matches the Rfam family "Bacterial small subunit ribosomal RNA", at positions 28 to 507 of the family's 1533-position model. The record is from RNAcentral.
GACGAACGCUGGCGGCGUGCUUAACACAUGCAAGUCGAACGGAAAGGCCCUUCUUUUGUGGGGUGCUCGAGUGGCGAACGGGUGAGUAACACGUGAGUAACCUGCCCUUGACUUUGGGAUAACUUCAGGAAACUGGGGCUAAUACCGGAUAGGAGCUCCUGCUGCAUGGUGGGGGUUGGAAAGUUUCGGCGGUUGGGGAUGGACUCGCGGCUUAUCAGCUUGUUGGUGGGGUAGUGGCUUACCAAGGCUUUGACGGGUAGCCGGCCUGAGAGGGUGACCGGCAACAUUGGGACUGAGAUACGGCCCAGACUCCUACGGGAGGAAGAAGUGGGGAAUAUUGAACAAUGGGCGGAAGCCUGAUGCAGCAACGCCGCGUGCGGGAUGACGGCCUUCGGGUUGUAAACCGCUUUCGCCUGUGACGAAGCGUGAGUGACGGUAAUGGGUAAAGAAGCACCGGCUAACUACGUG